UACGAAAACAUUUAACAUACAGUAUAUAUUUAAUGUGUUCUCGCUGGCUGCUGUGCUGCUCACAGCCUGCUUUCUAACUGUUGGCACCAGUAUUGGCCAGAAAUCCCCACGACAAGCGCGCAUUUGUGUCCAAUUUACUGUAGAAAUCCUCAUAUUGUCUAGUCGCCAAUAUCUGAAUGUGUUAUUAUAAAAACAUGCCUUAUCCAUAUUCAUGCGUGGUCGCCUACUUUGAAAGCACACAAAAUGGAGAACUAGAGCGAUCGGGGACAAACAACAUGGUUGUGGUGUUUGGACUUUUGAUUUGUACGCUACUCACUGAUGAUUAUUUGAGCCUCUAAGCUGCAGAUUUGGCCUUGUUUUUGCCAUGGGAAGUCGUGUUAACGGGGAGAGGGUAGCUUGGCUCGAGGACCUUGUGUGAGGCUCAGCUGGUUGGCAAAUAGAAUCAGGUAUAUGAAGUAUGCAAGACACUCUGGGCAUUGCUAAACGGUCAGAAUUAAAGUAUGUUGGCUGAACGAGAACAUUUUUCCAAUUCUAAGCAUCCAUCUUGUAUCCUGGUAGGAAGCCAGUCACCCAGUUUGCAUUAGAGAAUGGGGGAAAGAGACACUUUUGGUUUAAUUUGGGGGACUAGCUCUAAUCCAGACAAAAUCUCUCAAGGAUGAAGCCCCUUCCCUCCUCCCACUACAGUCGGAUUACGGGAGUGUCUUUAAAAGGAUAAGGGCCUGUUUAUUGCUGCUUCCCUCAACGCUUGUUUGGGAUUUAAUGAAGCGGGGGAAGGCUCUUCGGCGUCACCCAAUGUGGCCGGGGUGGAGAUGAGUCAGAGAUUAGGCAUCUGACAAACGAGAUCAAUGGUAAUCACAAUUUGCCGUUUUUAAACCACCCCACCCACUCCUCACACACCAACAGACACAAACGCAUAUGCUUCCACUCCCACCCAUCCAAGUGAAUUUCAUUUAUUGUUUUUCAACAGACUGGAAGAGGAUAAAAUGUGAUGUCCUGUUGAGCUUGGUGUGUGCCUUUAACUGGUUUAGUAACACCACAGUGGAGUCUGCUGGAAAAACUACAGGAUUGAUCAAAGCAUGCGACAAACUGAUCAGAGCUGCAUUGAAAAGAAAUUAACCAAUUUGCUCACGUUUAGCUUUGCUGUCAAAUAACUUUUUGUUGUCUUGAGAGAAAUUGACUAUAUUCUUGAAUGUAUGAUAUUACUUCUGUACAUGCACUGAAAUUGUCGGGGAGGUGGGGUGUGGGGGAUCAACUUUUUAUGGGUAGUUUCUGGGCAUUGGCAGCUCGUUAGAAUAGUGGUCAGCACGUCUAUGGUUAUUUUCAUACAUUUUCACUGUGACUCUGGAUUCCUCCUACAUCCCCAAAACACGUUUCUUUAGACAAUUGAAGUCAUGAAGUUGUUCAUAGGUGUGGCCUGUGAGUGACUGGCAACUAAUCCUUACCCAAAGUCAGGUAGGAUGGGGCCCAGCGCUUUAGAAAACCGAUGGAUGAAUAUCUACAAAUGCUCCCAAUAAGAUAUACAGUACUUAGUUGUUUUCUUAGUUAGGUUAGUGAGGCCAAUGCUCCACCUCCCAAAAGAGCGUUGAUUCAUUGUACAUCCCACCAAAGCAGCUGAAGCAAUUACAGUGCUCCAAAGACUAAUUUCAAAGUUCAUCUUAGUUGAACUUGAGUGCAGUGACCCCAGCAGUGAGCACAGCUUGAGCUCGUAUAGGCUUUAUGAGCACACAUUGAUUGACACACAUAUAAGGGCCUGAGUUUCUGGAGCUGUGUUACAUGGUUUCUGUUGUACUGUCCCUGUCCCUGUCAGUGAAUGACUUGCACAGGCAAGAACUUGCAGGAUGGAAAUUUGUUAAAUGUUCAAAGUGGAUGUGUUUAUUAACUGUACAGGUGCUGUUGGCAGUUACACCCUAACUGUCGUAAUUGUACAAUGUGUAAAAUUAAAAUGCCCCCAAUUAACUCCGUGCUCUGUUUUUAUGUAUCGGUGAGAAAUAAUGCUUUCCAUCAUUUUAAUAAGUGAAUAAAAAUGGCAAGUUUGGUACAGAUUUUCAGAUUUUUAUGCUUACAACAGUGAGUAGACACCGAUCUAGCACACAUAAGGUGAUGUGUUGCUUGAGAUACUUGUGUAAGUGUGAGGCUGUUGCCUAUUUUGUCGGAGGUGCAAUGGUGACAAGGUGACUGAAUUCCUUGCGCAUUCCGCCCGUAAAACCCUGAGCCCUCGGGAGGCACCUAGGAGUUAAAAUACCGUAUUUUCACGACUAUUCGACGCAUCGUACUAAUGGCCGCAGUCUCAUUAAUGGGUGACAUUUCUGUAUUUUACACAUACACAGGACGCACCGUACCAAUGGCCGCAGUUUUACAGUGGUAAAACAUACGCCAGCUUAAACAUACGGCAUGCAUGCGCGCAGUCUAACACGUUAGCUUGAAGCAUACGGUAGCAUGCCAAGACAUACAGAUAAGAUAAAAACACGUUUUUAAAAAGGCAACGAAAGCAGAACUGAGUUCGGGUGUAUUUUAUUUAGCCAUCGUACAAUGUUCUCACGUUUUUCGAUCAAUCAUCACCCAGAAAUCCAUCAAAGUCCUCAUCCUCUGUAUCAGAAGCAGAGGACUGCACAUCUCAGUUGUCAUUGAAUGCAUCACAUGCUAGUGUGAGUUGCUACGCAUUGCCGAGCGGAAAGAAGGAGUAGCAACAGCAAAGUCAACAUUUCUCUCGUGUGAAGCUUUCCCACAUUUGAAAGUAAAGAACAGAGCGAAACAUGGUGGCAGCGCGUGUGUGUGUAGAAAGAAUUGAACAAUUGUGCAAGUACCGUAAUCCAUCAAAAACGCCGCGUUCCCUCUCGUUGUUGCGUAUUGUGGCGUAACUCGCCAAGCGCUGCCUCUCACUCUCUGUAAAGUUGUGUUUGCCACAGAUCAUCCAUUGUUCCCAUGCCGUUUGCAACUUUACUUUGAACGCCCGGUUGAUGCCGAUGUCCAGCGGUUGGAGUUCUUUAGUCAAGCCUCCGGGAAUAACGGCAAGCUCAGAGUUCAUUUGCUUGACUUGUUUUUUUUCACCGCUGCUGUGAGAUGGGCACGCAUGCCAAAAGCAUAACCGGUGGCUUUAAGUUUGAACUGAGCUUCGUAGGCGUGUCUUUUUGUCGAAUUUAUUUUCAGGGGUUCUUAGAAACCAAAACCGGAGUUGUUUUGCAACAAUGCACAUUGCCACACUGUAUACAAGUGUUGGUACUGGCUUGAGGCGUCCACUUACACGCCCACCCUUCACCAUUGGCGGACUAACUUGCCUGUCCUCUCUCUCCCUCUCCAUAUAUGUAUAUAUAAACGCCCACCCAUCCCUGAUUGGCCGACUUCUUUCCCGCAUGCCUGGCCACAGUCACUUCCGCCUUUUCUCUAUAUAAACAGCGUGUCGGCUGUCAGUCAGAUUUUGGAACUCAGCGCAUAUAAAGGACGCUCCGCACCAUAAGGCGUCCUGUCCAUUUUGGAGAAAAUUUAAGACUUUUAAUGGCGCCUUAUAGUCGUGAAAAUACGGUACUGCCAAAACCACACGGGGAGGUGAGGGUGGCGGCGAAAUGGAGGCACCUCGGCGGAGGGACUUGUUACCUCGGCCUCAUCGUUUCUGUCUCAGCUCAUUAAGCCGUGCUUGCGGUUGGCGCAACAAACCUCCUCGCUCCUUCACAAUUAACAAUGGGACUUAAAGGGUUACCUCAAACACAUUAGACGGCCGCUAAUUAUCAGACGCAACCACGAGGUGAGAGUGGGGGCAGCGAUCUCACCUCCAAAGAUACACACACCCUAUAGUUUUUGUGUCAAUAGGAGUUCAGCGAUGCACCGUGCAAUUAAAUCGAUUUGAAAAGUAGCUCUCAAAGGUGGCAAAGAAGAAGAAUGCCAUCCUAUCGCCCCCUCCCCUUUGUAUUAUAUUAUCCAUGCAGUCCGCAUCCUCUCUAAAUAGUUUUGCAUGACCUUUGCUACAGUAGCUCUAAUUAUUUGCAGCAGAUAGGCCCUGUAAUGCACACGGCUAAUUAGACUGGAUUUAUCUGAUGGGACAUUGGCGCCGUUCUUCAUAGGCAUGACUGGCCUGCCUUCAGAGCAGGUGAUUUAAAGCCGCCGCUAAGGUUAAUUUGGGUAACACAGUAAUAGUAAUUAGAAUCAUAUUCAUGACAAACAUAGUUUUGAUAGCAGCACUGAGCAGAUCAGUCACAGGGUUCAUUGUUAACAAGCCAUCCUUAUCACCUCUCUUGUUUUUAAGCCUCUUUUCACUCACUCCUUUGACUGAUGUUUGACUGUGCAUGUUGAAAGCUAUAUCUCCCCUUUCAAAAAAAAGGCAUCACCCUUUAAUAUAGGACCUCUUGUCAUUGCAUCUUAUGAAGAGUUGUUACUGGAGAAAGCAGUAUUUAUCAAAGCUUCGACAUGAAUGGAGAGGGGCAGCUGGAGCUAUCUUUUGGCUGGCGGGCAACUUGUGUAAUGAGCCUAAGAGGUUUCCAAUUAUUCCACUUGUGAUCAGAAAGGAGAUGGAGAUUACUUCUCUUGCAGACCCCCCCCCCCCCCCCUCUCCCUUCUCGCUCUCUCUCCCUGACAUUUGGCACGGUAACAUCUUUUGAUAGGGGCUGGGGGGAGGGAAGGGAAAAAAAGAUGAUUUCUAGAGAGCAUCAGAUAGUCUUGAACAGGCAGUUCUGUCCUCUGCAUUAAGACAAAAUAAGAUGUUGUGACUCACAUUUUCAUUUCUGCAUUCUCCUGUAGGAAUGGGCCAUUAACGCCUCACCCCAAAAAGGCAUGCGGUGUUCAAUUUUAAGAUCAAUUCCCAGUGGUGUGUGAUUACUGAUUUAUGGUACGAUAAUUGCCUUGUUUAAAAGGACACCUGGUGAAACAGAAAGUUUCUCAAGUUGGAGCUUAGUGCUAAACCUCUUUGGGGUCAAGUCAACUCGCCAAUUUAGGAACUCAGGAAGCGUGUUACAUUUUUAUGAAGAGCAAAUAAGAAAUAUGCACAAACACCAAAAACUUGUUUAACUUUGUCACUGAAUUCUUUAGUGUUUUUUCAAGUGAAUUAGCAAGAGAACCCGAUAUAUACAGUACUAGCUGGUUCCUGCGGAAGGCUGGUAAGGUGGUGGUUCGUCGCCCUCCGGGCGGCUCAUCAGCUAGUUCCGGCGGAAGGCUGGUAAGGUGGGCCUUCGGCCCACAAAAGUGUUGUUGGUUGGUUGAACUUUUUGUUCAUCUUCAUUGCUUAUCGCGAAAAUAAAGAGAUGUUUAGCUCUACUAAAUAACUAACAAUUUCAUUGCAAUGCUUGUGGGUAGACAAUAUUUUUUCGCUAAGAUGCCCGCGCGAUCGUAGUGAGCCACUGCCUGAGCGGCGCAGUGGCGGCGCGCAGCGGCGCGGUGAAGUCGGUACGUUUUGAAAAGGGACAGACGGAAGGACAGACCGCGUGCGGGACGACGCGCAAUAUAUAUAUAGAUAUUUGCACAUAAUAACAACAUGCAAUGACAGUGCAGUUAAAGCUCAGAGCUAAGAACUGUUUUUUACUAAAUAAUCUACACUCGCUGUUACUUUUUGUGAAGUGUGAGCAUAAAAAAAUGCUUACUGUGGAUAUACCAAUGUGCUAAUUUUGCAAGCCAGGGGGGGGGGGGCCUUGCUCAGUUUACACUGAGCCUAAUUUAUACUGUGUGAUGAAAGUGUGCAUUUCACACAAACUGGCUUUUUAAACAGAAGAACAAAAUAACCAAACGGAACAUCAGGAGAGUUAAAGCUAAACCCCCGUACGUAAUUCAAGUAAAUCAUGCUCCUUCUUACUUUUGAGAAAUACAGGAUGAGCAAAACAUUUUUUUCCAAAAAAGAUUAAGAAGUUGAUGUCGACAUGUCGAUGGAUUAAUUUUGUCAUCUAGGGUAACUUUGACCAACUUUAAACAAAUAUGGUUUGGCAUGAUUUACAAGUAAACGUGAAACCCCCCACCAACCCUCCCCCCAAAAAACUAUAGAGUUGUAAUCAUUGUCAUUUAUUCAUGUGCACAACCUGUUACUUUUGCAAAAGUAAAAAAAAAAAAAAAUAAAAAAAAAAAAAUAAAAGACUCUGAAGUUUCACAGUUUCAUCCAGAUAUAUUCAGAUGCUAACUUUUCUCAAAUAUGAAAGCGCACUCCAUUCCUUUUCCAUAUUAAGGUUUUGCCAUAUUUUAGUCCGAAAUGGCCCCAAACAAAAAUAUAUUAAUUUCUUUUUACAUUUUGUUUCUCUAGUAGCCCGCUUG
Hippocampus zosterae (dwarf seahorse) is the source of this 6222-nucleotide long non-coding RNA. RefSeq lists it as uncharacterized. Lineage: Eukaryota; Metazoa; Chordata; Actinopteri; Syngnathiformes; Syngnathidae. The record is from RefSeq and is a predicted model, not a curated record. The transcript is spliced from 2 exons.